AGAGUUUGAUCAUGGCUCAGGACGAACGCUGGCGGCGUGCUUAACACAUGCAAGUCGAACGAUGAAGCCUCGGGUGGAUUAGUGGCGAACGGGUGAGUAACACGUGGGUGAUCUGCUCGUACUUCGGGAUAAGCUUGGGAAACUGGGUCUAAUACCGGAUAUGACCAGGGGCUGCAUGGUUUCUGGUGGAAAGAUUUAUC
Molecule: ribosomal RNA, 200 nt
Filed under: uncultured bacterium
Lineage: Bacteria
Description: partial 16S ribosomal RNA
Rfam family: Bacterial small subunit ribosomal RNA
Source: RNAcentral